AAUAGAUACCCGGGUAGUCCACGCCGUAAACGUUGGAUACUAGGUGUGGCGGUCUUACCAACGACUGCCGUGCCGAAGCUAACGCAUUAAGUAUCCCGCCUGGGGAGUACGGCCGCAAGGCUAAAACUCAAAGGAAUUGACGGGUCCCCGCACAAGCGGCGGAGCAUGCGGCUUAAUUCGAUGCAACCCGAAGAACCUUACCUGGGUUUGACAUCACGGGAAAAGCUGUAGAAAUACAGUGUCCAUUAGGGCCCGUGACAGGUGGUGCAUGGCUGUCGUCAGCUCGUGUCGUGAGAUGUUGGGUUAAGUCCCGCAACGAGCGCAACCCUUGUCCUAUGUUGCCAGCGGUUCGGCCGGGGACUCAUAGGAGACUGCCGGGGAUAACUCGGAGGAAGGUGAGGACGACGUCAAGUCAUCAUGCCCCUUAUAUCCAGGGCUGCACGCAUGCUACAAUGGCCGGUACAACGGGCAGCGAUCCCGCGAGGGUGAGCGAAUCCUAAAAAGCCGGUCCUAGUUCGGAUUGAAGUCUGCAACUCGA
Molecule: ribosomal RNA, 538 nt
Filed under: uncultured bacterium
Lineage: Bacteria
Description: bacterial SSU rRNA
Rfam family: Bacterial small subunit ribosomal RNA
Source: RNAcentral